CAGGACGAACGCUGGCGGCGUGCCUAAUACAUGCAAGUCGAGCGGACUUAUUCGGAUAGCUUGCUAUUUGGAUAAGUUAGCGGCGGACGGGUGAGUAACACGUGGGUAAUCUGCCUCGUAGACUGGGAUAACAGGCCGAAAGGUUUGCUAAUACCGGAUGAGUUCAUGUUUAUGCAUAUUGACAUGAAGAAAGGGGAAACCCGCUAUGAGAUGAGCCCGCGCCCCAUUAGCUAGUUGGUAGGGUAAAAGCCUACCAAGGCGACGAUGGGUAGCCGGCCUGAGAGGGUGGACGGCCACACUGGGACUGAGACACGGCCCAGACUCCUACGGGGGGCAGCAGUAGGGAAUUUUCGGCAAUGGGCGAAAGCCUGACCGAGCGACGCCGCGUGAGGGACGAAGGCCUUCGGGUUGUAAACCUCUGUCUGGGGGGAUGAGAAUGGACGGUACCCCCGGAGGAAGCCCCGGCUAACUACGUGCCAGCAGCCGCGGUAAUACGUAGGGGGCGAGCGUUGUCCGGAAUUACUGGGCGUAAAGGGCGCGCAGGCGGUCAUGCAAGUCGGUUGUGAAAGUCUAGGGCUUAACUCUAGGAUGCCGGCCGAAACUGUAUGGCUUGA
Molecule: ribosomal RNA, 614 nt
Filed under: uncultured bacterium
Lineage: Bacteria
Description: bacterial SSU rRNA
Rfam family: Bacterial small subunit ribosomal RNA
Source: RNAcentral